RNAcentral lists this ribosomal RNA (900 nucleotides) under Staphylococcus sp. U-2-24. RNAcentral describes it as "bacterial SSU rRNA". It matches the Rfam family "Bacterial small subunit ribosomal RNA", at positions 46 to 931 of the family's 1533-position model. The record is from RNAcentral. Lineage: Bacteria; Bacillati; Bacillota; Bacilli; Caryophanales; Staphylococcaceae.
GCCUAUACAUGCAAGUCGAGCGAACGGACGAGAAGCUUGCUUCUCUGAUGUUAGCGGCGGACGGGUGAGUAACACGUGGAUAACCUACCUAUAAGACUGGGAUAACUUCGGGAAACCGGAGCUAAUACCGGAUAAUAUUUUGAACCGCAUGGUUCAAAAGUGAAAGACGGUCUUGCUGUCACUUAUAGAUGGAUCCGCGCUGCAUUAGCUAGUUGGUAAGGUAACGGCUUACCAAGGCAACGAUGCAUAGCCGACCUGAGAGGGUGAUCGGCCACACUGGAACUGAGACACGGUCCAGACUCCUACGGGAGGCAGCAGUAGGGAAUCUUCCGCAAUGGGCGAAAGCCUGACGGAGCAACGCCGCGUGAGUGAUGAAGGUCUUCGGAUCGUAAAACUCUGUUAUUAGGGAAGAACAUAUGUGUAAGUAACUGUGCACAUCUUGACGGUACCUAAUCAGAAAGCCACGGCUAACUACGUGCCAGCAGCCGCGGUAAUACGUAGGUGGCAAGCGUUAUCCGGAAUUAUUGGGCGUAAAGCGCGCGUAGGCGGUUUUUUAAGUCUGAUGUGAAAGCCCACGGCUCAACCGUGGAGGGUCAUUGGAAACUGGAAAACUUGAGUGCAGAAGAGGAAAGUGGAAUUCCAUGUGUAGCGGUGAAAUGCGCAGAGAUAUGGAGGAACACCAGUGGCGAAGGCGACUUUCUGGUCUGUAACUGACGCUGAUGUGCGAAAGCGUGGGGAUCAAACAGGAUUAGAUACCCUGGUAGUCCACGCCGUAAACGAUGAGUGCUAAGUGUUAGGGGGUUUCCGCCCCUUAGUGCUGCAGCUAACGCAUUAAGCACUCCGCCUGGGGAGUACGACCGCAAGGUUGAACUCAAGGAAUUGACGGGGACCCGCACAGCG